Rhincodon typus (whale shark) is the source of this 2380-nucleotide long non-coding RNA. RefSeq lists it as uncharacterized. NCBI's taxonomy places the organism in Eukaryota, Metazoa, Chordata, Chondrichthyes, Orectolobiformes, Rhincodontidae. The record is from RefSeq and is a predicted model, not a curated record. The transcript has 4 exons.
AGGAUAACUGUGAAGGUAAGCGAAUCUGAACCACCUCAAAGUUUCUGACUCAAGCUCAGAAUUGAUGACUCUUUCUCAGUAUCCGAGACACCAGAUGUCAAUCCACUUCCAUGUAAGCACCUUCCUAUUAACUGCAAGCCAUUGGUUGUGACCACAGUGGACGCUGGAGUCCAGGCUGAACGCUGUCGAUGUGGAUGGAAAAAGGCACAACUGUGGCACUCCAAAUGGAAAGUCAAGAUUGAGAGCAAAGAAGCUGAAAGCUUGGUUGACCAGCAUCUGAGUGUUCACAGUUGUUGAGCUGAGGGAGAAAACUGUGAACCCAAUAAAAUGAGAGUUACUGAUGCUGUAAACCUGGAAUCAACCAACUGAUAUGUCUCCAUUUAAUGAAGAUUGACUGGGAUGUCAUUCCGAUCAAUGAGGGAUUUAUCUUUGAACCUGUGCCUUGAACUUGCUAAGCAAGCUACUAGUCUCACCAAAGCUAAUCAGAAUAUAAAAUGGAUGCCGCCUUCUUGCACAAAGUAACAUUUUUAUAAUUAAUGAAGCCCUUCCUUAUAACAGAACUUUCACCAGAAGAGUUUCUGCUUUUAUUUAAAGUCUGAGUUCUUUGGACGCUUGUGUUCUUACCAUGGGAGGAUAUGAAACUUGAGAGAAAUUAGUUUGCUUUCGGUCAAUGGAUGAUGUGGAAAUUGUUUUAAGAAAUAUAAAUGGAAGAAGAAUUUUGAAUAAGAAGGUGUUUACAACAUCUAAUUCCGUUUAAUAUUUUCAACAAUGAGCUGCGUUAAGUUUGAACAUUCAUGAAACAACACGAUCAGGAGGACGUCCUGUGGAAAGGCCAUCUCCAACGCUGUUUGCAUCAAAGCUGAAAGAAAUAGUGAAGCAGUUUCAUCGUUUCAACAUGGAAUCAAAUUUGAGUUUUGUAUGUCUCCCUGGUCCCUUUCCUCCACUAAUGCAGGAAGGAAAGGAGGUGUGAAUAUAUAUAGGAUUUGUUCAGUUUUUAAUUUAAUUUAAUUAAUGCCUUGUCCUGAACCUGCACGUAAAAUCCAGAAUGUUGUCAAUGGGUUUCACUGUUGUCCAGUUAAAGUUUUUAAGGUGUGACCAUACAGAACUCUUGUUUAUUGGUCAGCUCUGCUUCAGUAACCUGGUAUUUCAGAUUUUGAUGUGUUGUUUUUCUCUGAUUUGUCUGUGUGGGAGCAAGGCUGAAACCUGACCUUUGACUUGGUGAAAUGUAACUGAACACCUUCCACAGUCUUCCUCUUCCACCAGGACCAUGUAAUCUCUGCUUCUAGCUUGUUUGUGUUGGUUUGGUUAGGUUAUAGGCUUGGAUUGAUGUAACCAGAGGGAGCUCUCUUUCAGAAUCUUUUUAAAAUUUAAUAUGAAUUUGUUGUGAUUUGCAUAUGAAUUGCUCAGGUCCCUUAAACCAGUCUCAGCACCUGAAUUUUAUUGAAUUAAUGUAAAACACUUACAUAAAAUAUUUAUUAUACACAGCUUUCAUGUUUGGUGUUUGCGUUAAUAGCAAUCCUAACAAUGGUUAUUUGUUCACUUGUGUGCAAGGGCACUGUAUUGUUUCCCUAGAAGUUCACAACCUGUGCUAUCCAGUAUUAUAAAGAAUUGCCCACUGUUUGAAGGGACCCCAAUUCUGUUUCACAACUUGAGGGGAUGUUUUAUUCUAUUUAUAGAUCAACUUAUUGUUUGUACUCCUGUAUUAGGAGAAAAUAUGUUAGCUUAUGUACAGAAUAAAAUAUUUAAUUUUUUGUACAGAGGCUGAGUAUUUGAUCUACAUCAUUAACCAAUUGGCAUUUACAGUGCCUAUGCUCUUUGAAAAUUGUAGAUGUGCGUAACUUAGUUUUGCCUCCUUGUUCCUGCCAAUCUCCAUGAAUCUGAAAAUUAGUGCUUCCAAGAAUACAUGCAGUUGCCUUCUGACAGCUAGCUCCAUUGGAACCUGUUCCCAUCACACACUCAAGAUGUUCUAGAUGUUAACCCUUUGGAAAAAAUUAGAAUCAAAGAAUUUUUAAGUACAGUAGGAGACCAUUCAACCCAUCCUGUCCAUACCAGCUCCUGAAAGAAUUGCUCAGAUAGGGCUGGAGAAUGGGACUAUCUCCACAGCCCUCUAAAUUCAUCACAAGACCUCCUGCGGAAUCUUUCUCUCAAAAUCUCCCAGCCAGCACAUUUCAAGUCUUAACAACUGAGUAAAGACGUUUCUUUCUUCUCUCUCCUAGCUCUAUUACUGACUGUCUUGAAAUUGUUAUCCCUUUUAUUUGGCCAUCUAACUCUUUUGAAUCUGUCCUGUGAUCACCAUUUUGGGAAUCAUUUUCCCCUAUUUGCUCUUAAAACUCUUCUCAAUGUUGAACUUUCAUGAGGUCCCCAGUUCACCUUCUCUGAA